This 209-nucleotide long non-coding RNA is filed under the name Mytilus galloprovincialis (Mediterranean mussel). The record is from RNAcentral. Lineage: Eukaryota; Metazoa; Mollusca; Bivalvia; Mytilida; Mytilidae.
GUACUUGUUUACUGUCGUAAAUUAAUAUUAGGUGCUCGUUGUUAUUCUGUGGUUUACAUGUUGAAAUGUACUUUUAUAUUAUGUAUUCACGUAUUUCUCUGUCCUGAGUGGUCUUGCAUUUAUUUGUACUGUAUUUCUUUCACGUAAUGUUGUCAUUGUAGCGGUACUUUUGACAAUGCAAUAUAAGGGGGAGGUUUGGUAAACCAUAA